AACAUAAAGUCUAUCUACGCGUUUCUCAAAUAUUUUCCUUCUCACGCGUAAUAUCCGCCCCCGCCAAUUCUUUCGCAACGUAAUAUCCGUGAAUUUCUCAAAUAUCUCAUUAAUCCACCUACCAUUUGAAUUUAAUAAUAUACUAAAUAGUAAAUAGAAUAGAUAUGAUAACACGUGGCAAGCAUAUAGAAAGUCACGUUAGGAAAAAUGUCUAUCUUUUUUACUAAUAUUUUUAUGUCCAAUAAUUUUCAACCAAUCAUUUCAAAUAAUUAACUAAGUAAUAAUUUAUUCCCAAAUAAAGAUAAAUAUUUUUCUUCUCACGCGUAAUAACCGCACCCGCCAAUUCUUUUGCAACGUAAUAUCCAUGAAUUUCUCAAAUAUCUCAACAUAAUUAUAGGUGACUUUGAUAUAAAAUUCCCUUCUUUAUAGGUGAUUUUUAAUAAUAUAGUAAAAGAUAUUAAUUUUUUGCCUUCUUAAAUAUUUUCCUUCUCACUCGUAAAUUAUAUUAAUUAUAUUUAAUUGGUAUAAUAAAAGUUAAUAAUAAUAUAUUAAUUUUAUUUCCUAAUUAAUAAAAAUAUAGAGUAAUAAUAGUUAUUAGUAUUGAUUCCUUAAUUAUAAUUAUAGGUGACUUUGAAAUAAAAUCCCCUUAAUUAUAGAUGAUUUUUAAUAAAAUAAUAAAAGAUACUAUUGUCUUAAAAAUUUAAUUUUAUUUUUCCUAAAGUAGAAAAUCUAUAUUUGAGCUUGUAAUAAUUUAUUCCCAAAUAAAGAUAAAUAUUUUCCUUCUCACGUGUAAUAUCCGCACUCGCCAAUUCUUUCGCAACGUAAUAUCCGUGAAUUUAUCAAAUAUCUCAACAUAAUUAUAAUUAUAGGUGACUUUGAAAUAAAAUCACUUUCAUUAUAGGUGAUUUUUAAUAAUAUAGUAAAAGAUAUUGAUUUUUUGCCAUUAGAUCUUAUCUAAUGAUUGAAAAUAAAAGUAUCUGUUACUUUUUGUGACAAUAUUACCCUCGCAUUUAUAUCAUAUUUUCUAUCUACGCGUUUCUCAAAUAUUUUCCUUCUCGUGCGUAAUAUUCGCACCCGCCAAUUCUUUCGCAACGUAAUAUCCUUGAAUUUCUCAAAUAUCUCAUUAAUCCACCUACCAUUUGAAUUUAAUAAUAUAUUAAAUAGAAUAGAUAUGAUAACACGUGGCAAGCAUAUAGAAAGCCACGUUAGGAAAAAUGUCUAUCUUUUUUAAUAAUAUUUUUAUGUCUAGUAAUUUUCAACCAAUCAUUUCAAAUAAUUAACUAGGUAAUAAUUUAUUCCCAAAUAAAGAUAAAUAUUUUCCUUCUCACGCGUAAUAACCGCACCCGUCAAUUCUUUCGUAACGCAAUAUCCGUGAAUUUCUCAAAUAUCUCAAUAUAAUUAUAGGUGACUUUGAUAUAAAAUCCCUUUCUUUAUAGGUGAUUUUUAAUAAUAUAGUAAAAGAUAUUAUUUUCUUAAAAAUCUAAUUUUAUUUUUUCUAAAGUAGAAAAUCUAUAUUUGAGCUUGUAAUAAUUUAUUCCCGAAUAAAAAUAAAUAUUUUUCUUCUCACGCGUAAUACUUGGAGUCUGUCUGCCCUACGGGCAUCACUCCCCUACUUGCGUACUUUUUCCUUUUGCUAUUCAAUAGAAAGUCAUCUUCGGCUCUUCCUGCCGAUCGGAUCACAAGUUGUUUGGCCACUCGGCUCGUUUCUUAGUCGAAUUCUGGGCUCCCCCUCUCCAUUCGGCUCAUCCUGCCGAAGCGAAUUUACUGCGGAAGUUUUCGAACCCCGCUGAUUCGAUCCAUCAUCGGCUUAAUCGCUUGAUCCUCUGUGGGCGCAUAUUUCGAGGGUCAUAAUCCGCAGCAGUCUUGCAUCCCAACAAUCUUGUCGAGGAGAAUUAUUGACCGGGUCAAGGAUCGGGACGUUCGGCACCCAACAAAUACAAUUCAUUGCAUCUAACACUAGUGAAUUAACCCGUUAGUUGCAUCACGGGACACUUUGGACCGAGUCCUAAUAAUUAAUGAGAAAUACUGUCUACGUCUAACAGAGCCUGUAAUUUCUACAAAUCGUUGAUCACAUUAAUUGUUUUUUGUUUUUUUUUUUUUUUUGGAGAGAAUAGAUGCACGCUAACGAUUCGUUAUUUAUUUAGAAAUAAAUUUAGCUGAAAAUAUGAAAUCACUUAGAAUUGGAAAUUUAGACCUCGAGUACCCACUCAACCAAUCCCUUUACCACCUUGCUCUAAGAACCUCGUUUGAAUCACUAACAUUGGUUAAAAGAUAAAAGUAGGUUUUAUCGAGCUCCAUAGAAUUAGUUAACAGAUGUGAAAAAUCAUGUGUAAAUUUGUACAGAUGGAACACGACGUGAAUUUAAAAACUGAGGUUUCAAUCCAAUAAAUAAAUACUUAACUUAGUUAUUAUUUUAUAUUUUGUAGAGACCUAAUAUAUGUUUACGCUUAAAAUUGCUUUGAUCAAUAUUUAAUCGUCUACUUUGACCUUUCACACGUAUUUGGCAAAUGAUGGUCACAAUUAAUUUUUUUUUUUUUUCUUGAUUUUUUGUUUUAAUAAAAGCUUUCGGAGAACACAUAAAAGUUAUCUACGUCCGUUUCUCGAAUAUUUUUCUUCUCAGCGCGUAAUAUACGCAUCAGCCGGAAUUCUCUUGUCCAACCGUAAUAUCUGCGUGAAUUAUCCAACUAUCUCAAACAUAAUUAUAAGAUGACUUUGA
RNAcentral lists this long non-coding RNA (2716 nucleotides) under Ananas comosus (pineapple). Its description in RNAcentral is "long non-coding RNA (ACOM_LNC015743)". The record is from RNAcentral. Lineage: Eukaryota; Viridiplantae; Streptophyta; Magnoliopsida; Poales; Bromeliaceae.